UCAGAGGCAGCUCUCUCUAUCGUGCACGUAUGCCUGAGGAGCGCGGUGUUCGCUGACGAUCCGGGGAACGGAAACAAAGAAAAUAAUCUUCUAGAUGAAUUUUAUCGAUGGAUUGAUGGUAAAGAAAAGGAUUUAAAGGGGACGUGCUGUACCUGCACCGUUCUGGAAUUUUCUGAGUUUAACGAUCUCCUUGGUCAGGUUUUUAUUCCUUGUUGUUCUGUCCUUUUCCAAAUUCGAUUGCUGUCCUCUGUCUGAUGUGACGAGAUGUUCCGGUACCUGCAUUCUGGAUUUGUCCCGGCCUUCCGGUGGUUCUGAGGAGGGUUUGGACUGGCGAGCCUCCCUUGAGUCUG
Molecule: long non-coding RNA, 350 nt
Organism: Sinocyclocheilus rhinocerous
Lineage: Eukaryota; Metazoa; Chordata; Actinopteri; Cypriniformes; Cyprinidae
Exons: 3
Source: RefSeq, a predicted model, not a curated record